UGCGUAGGCGGUUUAAUAAGUCUGUAAUCAAAGACUCGGGCUCAACUCGAGGUCGGUUAUGGAAACUGUUAAACUAGAAUCUUUCAGGGGAAGCUAGAAUUUCUGGUGUAGGGGUGGAAUCUGUUGAUAUCAGAAAGAAUACCAAAGGCGAAGGCAGGCUUCUAGGAAAUGAUUGACGCUGAGGCACGAAAGUGUAGGGAGCAAACA
Molecule: ribosomal RNA, 207 nt
Filed under: uncultured bacterium
Lineage: Bacteria
Description: partial 16S ribosomal RNA
Rfam family: Bacterial small subunit ribosomal RNA
Source: RNAcentral